RNAcentral lists this ribosomal RNA (253 nucleotides) under uncultured bacterium. Its description in RNAcentral is "partial 16S ribosomal RNA". It matches the Rfam family "Bacterial small subunit ribosomal RNA", at positions 524 to 776 of the family's 1533-position model. The record is from RNAcentral.
UACGAAGGGGGCUAGCGUUGUUCGGCAUCACUGGGCGUAAAGCGCACGUAGGCGGACCUUUAAGUCAGGGGUGAAAGCCUGGAGCUCAACUCCAGAACUGCCUUUGAUACUGGAGGUCUCGAGUGUGGAAGAGGUUGGUGGAACUGCGAGUGUAGAGGUGAAAUUCGUAGAUAUUCGCAAGAACACCAGUGGCGAAGGCGGCCAACUGGUCCAUUACUGACGCUGAGGUGCGAAAGUGUGGGUAGCAAACAGG